RNAcentral lists this ribosomal RNA (646 nucleotides) under Ablabera sp. DA0807. RNAcentral's name for it is "eukaryotic LSU rRNA". It matches the Rfam family "Eukaryotic large subunit ribosomal RNA", at positions 663 to 1265 of the family's 3401-position model. The record is from RNAcentral. Lineage: Eukaryota; Metazoa; Arthropoda; Insecta; Coleoptera; Scarabaeidae.
GGACCAAGGAGUCUAGCAUGUGCGCGAGUCAUUGGGACUCUAACUAAACCUAAAGGCGCAAUGAAAGUGAAGGUCCGCCGUGCGCGGACCGAGGGAGGAUGGACGGUCCCGAGGGGCCGCCCCGCACUCCCGGGGCGUCUCAAUCUCACAUUCGUGAAGAGGCGCACCCAGAGCGUACACGCUGGGACCCGAAAGAUGGUGAACUAUGCCUGGUCAGGACGAAGUCAGGGGAAACCCUGAUGGAGGUCCGUAGCGAUUCUGACGUGCAAAUCGAUCGUCGGAACUGGGUAUAGGGGCGAAAGACUAAUCGAACCAUCUAGUAGCUGGUUCCCUCCGAAGUUUCCCUCAGGAUAGCUGGCGCUCGCUUCUCGCGAGUCUCAUUCGGUAAAGCGAAUGAUUAGAGGCAUUGGGGUCGAAACGGCCUCAACCUAUUCUCAAACUUUAAAUGGGUGAGAUCUCCGGCUUGCUUGAACUGUGAAGCCGCGAGAUAUCGGAUCAGAGUGCCAAGUGGGCCACUUUUGGUAAGCAGAACUGGCGCUGUGGGAUGAACCAAACGCCGAGUUAAAGCGCCUAAAUCGACGCUUAUGGGAUACCAUGAAAGGCGUUGGUAACUUAAGACAGCAGGACGGUGGCCAUGGAAGUCGGA